GCCCUCGUAGCUCAGGGGAUAGAGCACUGGCCUCCGGAGCCGGGUGCGUAGGUUCGAAUCCUACCGAGGGCG
Molecule: transfer RNA, 72 nt
Filed under: Acidimicrobiales bacterium
Lineage: Bacteria; Bacillati; Actinomycetota; Acidimicrobiia; Acidimicrobiales
Also listed under: 2 other names
Description: tRNA-Arg
Rfam family: tRNA
About the family: Transfer RNA (tRNA) molecules are approximately 80 nucleotides in length.
Source: RNAcentral